RNAcentral lists this ribosomal RNA (500 nucleotides) under uncultured Glomeromycotina. RNAcentral describes it as "partial small subunit ribosomal RNA". It matches the Rfam family "Eukaryotic small subunit ribosomal RNA", at positions 591 to 1092 of the family's 1831-position model. The record is from RNAcentral. Lineage: Eukaryota; Fungi; Glomeromycota.
CCAAUAGCGUAUAUUAAAGUUGUUGCAGUUAAAAAGCUCGUAGUUGAAUUUCGGGGUUAGUAGGUUGGUCAUGCCUCUGGUAUGUACUGGUCUCACUGAUUCCUCCUUCCUGAUGAACCGUAAUGCCAUUAAUUUGGUGUUGCGGGGAAUUUGGACUGUUACUUUGAAAAAAUUAGAGUGUUUAAAGCAAGCUAACGCUUGAAUACAUUAGCAUGGAAUAAUGAAAUAGGACGUUCGAUCCUAUUUUGUUGGUUUCUAGGAUUGACGUAAUGAUUAAUAGGGAUAGUUGGGGGCAUUAGUAUUCAAUUGUCAGAGGUGAAAUUCUUGGAUUUAUUGAAGACUAACUACUGCGAAAGCAUUUGCCAAGGAUGUUUUCAUUAAUCAAGAACGAAAGUUAGGGGAUCGAAGACGAUCAGAUACCGUCGUAGUCUUAACCAUAAACUAUGCCGGCUAGGGAUCGGAUGAUGUUAAUUUUUUAAUGACUCAUUCGGCGCCUUACG